Molecule: long non-coding RNA, 491 nt
Organism: Mauremys reevesii (Reeves's turtle)
Lineage: Eukaryota; Metazoa; Chordata; Testudines; Geoemydidae
Exons: 2
Source: RefSeq, a predicted model, not a curated record
UCAGCCAGGCAGGACAGGGGUGCAGGACAGGGGCAACCUUGGAGAUCCCUGUGGUUUUGCUUCAGCAUGUCUCUUUCUCGAGGUCUCUCCUUGAAGACUGAGAGAGAAUUCACUUUCACGUACGUGAGCACAAGGAGGACCCUCUUUGGAGUUUUCUUCUUUUCUUUUCUUGAUUUUGCUAGAAAACAGAGGUCCCUGUAUAGAAGGACUUGUCUGUGCAUGUGGAGUGGAGGGCAGUGCGGGGGAGGUUCCACUCCAACUCUCAUUGCGGGAGGCCCUCCCAAAGACAUGUGGCUGGAAUAGUGCUCUAAGAGUGACUCCCUCUGGUGGUGACCUGGGACAUCUGGUGAGAACUCUCAGCUUUCUGAUUCUCAGAGUCUCAGUGCUGAUUGGGCGAGCAUGGGGCUAUUGUGAGGGAGGAGACUCAGGUCCUUGUUACUCGCUUUUCAGACCAAGGAAAUAAGCCAUAACCAAACAUGUGUUCGAUUGCU